This 507-nucleotide ribosomal RNA is filed under the name uncultured Clostridiaceae bacterium. RNAcentral's name for it is "bacterial SSU rRNA". It matches the Rfam family "Bacterial small subunit ribosomal RNA", at positions 1 to 526 of the family's 1533-position model. The record is from RNAcentral. Lineage: Bacteria; Bacillati; Bacillota; Clostridia; Eubacteriales; Clostridiaceae.
AUUAGAGUUUGAUCAUGGCUCAGGACGAACGCUGGCGGCGUGCCUAACACAUGCAAGUCGAGCGAAUGAAGUUCCUUCGGGAAUGGAUUUAGCGGCGGACGGGUGAGUAACACGUGGGCAACCUGCCUCAUAGAGGGGAAUAGCCUUCCGAAAGGGAGAUUAAUACCGCAUAAGAUUGUAGUACCGCAUGGUACAGCAAUUAAAGGAGCAAUCCGCUAUGAGAUGGGCCCGCGGCGCAUUAGCUAGUUGGUGAGGUAACGGCUCACCAAGGCGACGAUGCGUAGCCGACCUGAGAGGGUGAUCGGCCACAUUGGGACUGAGACACGGCCCAGACUCCUACGGGAGGCAGCAGUGGGGAAUAUUGCACAAUGGGGGAAACCCUGAUGCAGCAACGCCGCGUGAGUGAUGACGGCCUUCGGGUUGUAAAGCUCUGUCUUCAGGGACGAUAAUGACGGUACCUGAGGAGGAAGCCACGGCUAACUACGUGCCAGCAGCCGCGGUAAUAAU